CUCUGAAUGGCAUUAAGCUCUCUUCUUUCAGUUUUGAUUAGGUGACUUGCAGAAGAUGAAGAUAAAUCAUUUAGAGGAGGAUACGUGUGUCAGGAGAUAAUGCCUCCGCUGGUUGAACAUGGCGAAGAAACACUGGCUCAAACUGAAGCUGAUGAAACACAGCAACAACCUGAGAAAUUCAGGCAUCUCGGUCUCCGUGACAGCAUUUCACAUUGAUGCGGCACGUCUCGGAAAACAAAACUAAGAGGAUCUUGUAUGCGGCCUUCACUUUGCACACCACACCACACCUCUCCAUUGGUCCAAGAUAACAUCAGAAUGACUGUGUCCAGACCACCAGAUCAGAACACAAAAUACAGACGGGAAGGUGGCCGGUUCACCUUCCAACCAUGUAUGUUCAGCUUGGCCCUUGAGUUGCUUUACUCUGGCCAUUUGGCAGGUGCAUACGCAGCCAGGAGAAACAAAAAAUACAACCAGAUCCCUGCUCAUGCAAACAGCUCAAUCUCCUCUUGCUGCAGAGCGUAGCUGCCUUUGGGAAGUCCUGUCAACGCUUACCAUUUGGC
Astatotilapia calliptera (eastern happy) is the source of this 560-nucleotide long non-coding RNA. The record is from Ensembl. NCBI's taxonomy places the organism in Eukaryota, Metazoa, Chordata, Actinopteri, Cichliformes, Cichlidae.